This 253-nucleotide ribosomal RNA is filed under the name uncultured microorganism. Its description in RNAcentral is "partial 16S ribosomal RNA". It matches the Rfam family "Bacterial small subunit ribosomal RNA", at positions 524 to 776 of the family's 1533-position model. The record is from RNAcentral.
UACGUAGGGUGCGAGCGUUAAUCGGAUUUACUGGGCGUAAAGCGUGCGCAGGCGGCCCGUUAAGACAGGUGUGAAAUCCCUGGGCUCAACCUAGGAAUUGCGCUUGUGACUGGCGGGCUCGAGUACGGUAGAGGGGAGUGGAAUUCCUGGUGUAGCAGUGAAAUGCGUAGAGAUCAGGAGGAACACCGAUGGCGAAGGCAGCCCCCUGGGCAUGUACUGACGCUCAUGCGCGAAAGCGUGGGGAGCAAACAGG